RNAcentral lists this long non-coding RNA (316 nucleotides) under Glycine max (soybean). Its description in RNAcentral is "long non-coding RNA (GMAX_LNC000882)". Lineage: Eukaryota; Viridiplantae; Streptophyta; Magnoliopsida; Fabales; Fabaceae. The record is from RNAcentral.
UUUGAUCCUUGGUGCUACCAUAGGACUUCUUCUCUUUGCCCUAUCUCUAAUUCUUACAUCCAUAACCAAAACUCUAUGUUGGGUAGUCAAGCUCUCUCUCGGGAUAACUUUACAGUUCAAGCAAUACUUCCUAUCAGACUUCCUGAUAAGGAAGAAAUCUAUCUGAGAACAUGUCCCUCCACUUUUGUAAGUGAUAAGAUGUUCCUCUCUUUUCUUAAACCAUGUAUUGGCUAUAGAAAGAUCUAAAGCCUCCGAAAACUCCAAGAUGGAUUUACCCUCCCCAUUCAUCUCCCCUAGGCCAAAACCCCCAUGCACC